GACGAACGCUGGCGGCGUGCCUAAUACAUGCAAGUAGAACGCUGAAGGAGGAGCUUGCUUCUCUGGAUGAGUUGCGAACGGGUGAGUAACGCGUAGGUAACCUGCCUGGUAGCGGGGGAUAACUAUUGGAAACGAUAGCUAAUACCGCAUAAUAGCAGUUGUUGCAUGACAACUGUUUGAAAGGUGCAAUUGCACCACUACCAGAUGGACCUGCGUUGUAUUAGCUAGUUGGUGGGGUAACGGCUCACCAAGGCGACGAUACAUAGCCGACCUGAGAGGGGGAUCGGCCACACUGGGACUGAGACACGGCCCAGACUCCUACGGGAGGCAGCAGUAGGGAAUCUUCGGCAAUGGACGGAAGUCUGACCGAGCAACGCCGCGGGAGUGAAGAAGGUUUUCGGAUCGUAAAGCUCGGUUGUAAGAGAAGAACGAGUGUGAGAGUGGAAAGUUCACACUGUGACGGUAUCUUACCAGAAAGGGACGGCUAACUACGUG
Molecule: ribosomal RNA, 495 nt
Filed under: uncultured bacterium
Lineage: Bacteria
Description: partial 16S ribosomal RNA
Rfam family: Bacterial small subunit ribosomal RNA
Source: RNAcentral